AGCAGCAGCCGCGGUAAUGCGUAGGUGGCAAGCGUUGUCCGGAAUUAUUGGGCGUAAAGCGCGCGCAGGCGGAUCGGUCAGUCUGUCUUAAAAGUUCGGGGCUUAACCCCGUGAUGGGAUGGAAACUGCCAAUCUAGAGUAUCGGAGAGGAAAGUGGAAUUCCUAGUGUAGCGGUGAGAUGCGUAGAUAUUAGGAAGAACACCAGUGGCGGAGGCGACUUUCUGGACGAAAACUGACGCUGAGGCGCGAAAGCCAGGGGAGCGAACGGGAUUAGAUACCCCCGUAGUCCCUGUCUCUUAUACA
RNAcentral lists this ribosomal RNA (303 nucleotides) under uncultured bacterium. Its description in RNAcentral is "partial 16S ribosomal RNA". It matches the Rfam family "Bacterial small subunit ribosomal RNA", at positions 507 to 809 of the family's 1533-position model. The record is from RNAcentral.